AUUGAACGCUGGCGGCAUGCUUUACACAUGCAAGUCGAGCGGCAGCGCGGGGGCAACCCUGGCGGCGAGCGGCGAACGGGUGAGUAAUGCAUCGGAACGUAUCCUCGAGUGGGGGAUAACCCAGCGAAAGUUGGGCUAAUACCGCAUGAGCUCUGAGGAGGAAAGCGGGGGACCUGCGAGGGCCUCGCGCUGGAGGAGCGGCCGAUGUCCGAUUAGCUAGUUGGUGGGGUAAAGGCUUACCAAGGCGACGAUCGGUAGCUGGUCUGAGAGGAUGAUCAGCCACACUGGGACUGAGACACGGCCAAGACUCCUACGGGAGGCAGCAGUGGGGAAUUUUGGACAAUGGGGGCAACCCUGAUCCAGCCAUGCCGCGUGAGUGAAGAAGGCCUUCGGGUUGUAAAGCUCUUUCGGACGGAACGAAAUGGGCGGGACUAAUACUCCUGUCUGAUGACGGUACCGUAAGAAGAAGCACCGGCUAACUACGUG
RNAcentral lists this ribosomal RNA (486 nucleotides) under uncultured bacterium. RNAcentral's name for it is "partial 16S ribosomal RNA". It matches the Rfam family "Bacterial small subunit ribosomal RNA", at positions 29 to 507 of the family's 1533-position model. The record is from RNAcentral.